Long non-coding RNA from Armigeres subalbatus, 617 nucleotides. RefSeq lists it as uncharacterized. The transcript is spliced from 3 exons. The record is from RefSeq and is a predicted model, not a curated record. Lineage: Eukaryota; Metazoa; Arthropoda; Insecta; Diptera; Culicidae.
AUUUAUGAGAAACAAUUAUAAAAAACUAAUAUCGACUAAUAAGAGUAAUAGUAACGACAUGGAAUACGGUUAUGAGAUAUACAUGUAUCAUCUCAACAGCUCAUAGUGUUUCAUCAUGAUAUCACACACACGCAUCAAUCAAAUUAUCCCAUGCUAAAUAUAUGAUAAGUGUUGUGGUUGAGGAAUGAGUGUGCGUAUUUAUCAUUUGCAUUUUUUCUCAAGCAUCCAGCCAUGUUUGAUUCGCAGUGACAAACACUGGUUUCGUUAGACCAGAUUGUUUUACUUGAUUUGUUUGUGCUCAGUUUUUAUUUAAUGAAGUUUCCAUGCAUGCGUAAAACUUGAAGAUUAACCAUCUAUGGAAAUAAGAGAUGCAUGCUCGGUGUGCCGUCUUUGCAAUAAUGUUGGCCAUGGCUGAUUUAAUAGCGACAUUAAUUCUUCUGGAAAUUUGUUUGGCUUGCGGCGGUCCCGGCGGUCCGGCAGGCUAUAUAGCUGCACACUAAAAAAAUUCUACCAAGUACUUAUGCUAACAAAUGUUAAUUACUUUUUCAAUAUCCAUUAGUUUUUAAAUAUAAAAGUAAUAUUUAUGUUCUUUAAAUAAAAUAUGAAACGAAAUUAAA